This is a long non-coding RNA of Salvia miltiorrhiza (redroot sage), 2641 nucleotides long. RefSeq lists it as uncharacterized. The transcript is spliced from 4 exons. The record is from RefSeq and is a predicted model, not a curated record. NCBI's taxonomy places the organism in Eukaryota, Viridiplantae, Streptophyta, Magnoliopsida, Lamiales, Lamiaceae.
CCUUCUCCACGACACGAUGCGUGUUUAUGAUUGUUAAUGAUGAAGAAUGCCCUUAUGCUAUUUAUGAAUUUGGAAAUGUUUAAUGAGCAAAGGAUAUGAAAGAAACUCAUGCCUCUUAUGCGAUAUUGUGAAAUUGUUAAUGAUGUUAUGUUAUAUGCUUGGCAACUGCCCACUAAGUACUCUUGUACUUAGCCCUUCGAUGUUUAUGUUUGUGCAGGUUGAGCUGUGAUGGGCGAUGAAGUGUUGUUGCUGAGUAGAGUUUUUGUCGAAUUUAAAGUAGGCUCAGAAAGGAUACAUGUCUUCAUACAUGUAUCUCAGUUAUGCAUUCCGCUGUAAACACUGAUUAUUUCAGUUACACCUUCCGUUGCAAACUCUGAUAAUGUUUUAGCCAAGCCCCUAAAAAUGCCUUUUUCCUUUUAAGGAAUAUAACGCGUAUACAAGUUCUUUGAGUACCCUUUUUAUGCGAACUAUGCAUUUUCCCUUUUUAAGGAAUAUUUCACGCGUAUUCAAGCUCUUUGAGUAUUCUUUUAUGCACCCCUUUCUAAACCCGCUUCUUAUUUUCCCUUCCCCAGUCAUGGUUUUCCCGGAUUAAUUAUCCUUAAUUAAGGCCGGUCGUGACAGAGUGGUAUCAGAGCAGUUCAUUUGCUCUGAGCCUAAGAGUUUAUUUAAGCCAAACUUAGAAUGGAUCAAUAAAGUGUCUAGAGUUCAAUCAACAAAGCUCAGCACUUCAUCGCAUCACACUCAACGAAGCAGAAUGGUAAACUCUUCCAAGCUUGAGUUAAUGUUUACAAAAAGUGAGAAUUAUCGUAAUAGCAAAAAUGCCGCCUAAGAGAGGACGCCCUGCGAGAAACAAUAACAAUCGCAGAAACCGUAACGCUGUACCCGAAGAACCACAAGAUGCUCGAGGACAUAACCCAUCCCUCCGCCCCCAACUAGGAGAGUCGAAGAACUCUUUUUAAGGCAAAAUCCGCCUACGUUUGACGGAACGAGUGAACCAGCUGAAGCUGAGAUUUGGGUGCGUGCAAAUGAACGCAUCUUCAACUUUCUACAUUGUACUGAUGAGGAGCGCCUAUCUUGCGUCUCAUUCCAGCUAACAUGAUCAGCGGAUUUCUGGUGGGAAACACGACGAAAAAUUCUGACACCUGAACAAUGGGCAAGUUAUACUUGGGAAGAUUUUAAGACAGGAUUAUAUGAUAAAUAUAUUCCGAAAAGCUAUAGGAAGAAGAAAGAAGUUAAGUUCUACGAGUUGAAGCAAGGAAAGAAAUCUGUGGUUGAAUAAAACAAGGAAUUUCACCUUGCCCAAAUUGUGGUAAGAUGCAUAGGGGUGUCUGUCGUGCCGGGACUAACGGUUGUUACAAUUGUGGCCAAAAGGGUCACUACUCCACGCAAUGCCCCAACAAACAACGAGGUUCAACAAUUGAGAACAGCCACACCCCCUUGCCAGCAAUACGUGGACACUUGCGAAAUCAGUUUCAAUCACAUCAGUGAAAAUCUUAUGGAGGCACCGCAGAUAUAAAAAAAAAAUUACGUGGGAGUUUGAAGACAAAAUGAAAGAGAAGUACCCGGAUUGUUUUAACAGAGAUAUGCAAAUUUCGGGACGAAAUUUUUGUUAAGAGGGGUAGUAUGUAGUAGCCCGCUCUUUUAUUUAUGAUAAAAACUAGUAAAUGCAAUUUUUAUAAAUGAAUCCAGUUUAUGGUCCUGAUUUUUUUUUUUUAUCAGAGACGGAGUUAUUAUUUUAGCUUUAUACUUUUAUAACGUAUAAGAAAAACGCGACGAGGAUUAUUGAGCCAUUCAAUAAUUUAUUAUCCAGUUUGAUAACUGACUUAGCAAAGUCAAGUUAUUAAUUUAUAUGCGAUAGAAAUAGUAUUUCUAUUAUUUACUUGAAGUCGUCAUUAGUUUUCGACUUAUAAAACGAAUUAUAAAAUAUGUAAUUCGUAGAGAGUUAUAACGAAGCGUCAUUAUUUAGUAGAACCCAAUAUUAGUUUUACAAAUACUUGUAACUUCAAUACUUUACAAAUCAUUAUUUUUCCACUCCCUAAUGUUUCCUACACUAUACACGCAUAAUCUCCACUUCUCCACUCCACCAACUAUCUCCAUCACCUUUUGCUUUCUUCCACUACAUUUUUUCUCACCACCCUUUCCACUCCACUAAUUCCACUACACCAAACUUUCCACCUACUCCCUUCCCCACCACACGCAAGAAUGCAUCUAACAUUCCAUUAUACAGGCAACAAUCUUUUCAUCAUCUUCAUUCUUCACUAAGGAACCGAAGAGCAGCCACGAGUUCUGCCAUAAGCACACUGCUCCGGCAGUGUUUUGCAAGGCGAUUCCAGCCAUCCAAAAGGUCUGGGCGACAGAAAGUGAAGCCGAAGAAGAAACGACUCCACGCCAGCUUUAAGAACAAUUGAGGUUGAGCUGUGAUGGGCGAUGAAGUGUUGUUGCUGAGUAGAGUUUUUGUCGAAUUUAAAGUAGGCUCAGAAAGGAUACAUGUCUUCAUACAUGUAUCUCAGUUAUGCAUUCCGCUGUAAACACUGAUUAUUUCAGUUACACCUUCCGUUGCAAACUCUGAUAAUGUUUUAGCCAAGCCCCUAAAAAUGCCUUUUUCCUUUUAAGGAAUAUAACGCGUAUACAAGUUCUUUGA